Non-coding RNA from Phoenix dactylifera (date palm), 3410 nucleotides. The record is from RefSeq and is a predicted model, not a curated record. NCBI's taxonomy places the organism in Eukaryota, Viridiplantae, Streptophyta, Magnoliopsida, Arecales, Arecaceae.
GAAAAGAUAAAAAAAACGACGACGCAUAAAAGCGUCGUUAUAAAACCGUUCGCCCAACCCCCUCUCCUCCAUCGAGAGCCGACUUCCCACCCACCUCCAUCGAGAGCCGACUUCCCACCUCCGUCGAGAGCCGGUGCUUCCCCGAUGCCCGCUGCCGUCUUCCUCCUUCCGUUCGCCCAGCCCCCUCUAAAAUUUGGUCGAUGCCCUACUUGUGCGCGCGCCGACUUCCCACCUCCAUCGCGAGCCGGUGCUUCCCCGCUGCCGUCUUCCUCCUUCUCCUCUGAGAUCAAAUGAUUGCGACCAAGAGAUCGUUGCAAUGGAUGCUGGGAAGGGCGAUUGGGGCGAGGAGCAUGUGCGCCCUUCCCCACAAAUCCGCCCCCUCCUCUUCCGAGGAACUGAUGAGAAUGGAACACCAGUAUAGCGCUCAUAAGUAAGCUAUGUUGUUGUACCCCACACCACUCCCCUUCUUAGAUCUCAAAUUCUUGCGGCCUUGAUCUAAUGCUUUCCUCACUUAGAUCCUCUGUUAUUUAUGUAGAUUUAUUAUAUUUGGUUUUGUUGGAUGUCGAUGCUACCAGGUCUCUGACUCGGUCGAUCUUGGUUUUGUUGGGAAGGAAGAAAUGUUUGUCAAUGUUUCUGUGUUUUGUUUAUGGGUUUAUCUAUGGUUUUGACAAGUCUGGUUGGUGCAUGAUGAUAUGCUGAUUGAAAUUGGAGGGUUGCCAUGGCUUUUAAGAGUUAGUGAUGCUGAUUUUCAGCUGAUGCUAAUUUUUGAUACGAUGAGAGUUGGUGCUAUUCUUUCUUUGUUGUUUGGCUUUUUGCUCAGUAAACUUGGAAUUUUUGGGCUUGGUUUGAUCUGCUGCUGUAGUUUGUGGUAGUCGUAUAAACCGGUGAUGAAUCAAGGCUUUGCUCUUGUAUACAGCAGUACUAAUGUUGGAGCUUCUAAUACACUUGAUACCUGUUUAGAAGCAACAAAAUACUUAGUUGGCUUUUUUCUGAUCAACUUCAUGCUCUGAUAUGUUGGCUGUCUCUAUAGUGGUCGUCUUCUGCUUGUGCGCUUUUAAUAGUCCACGCUGCAUUGCAAGUUCUAACUUUGUCUCAUGAAAAACCAUGAAAUUAGGUUUACAUAUAAGGACAUUGAAACAUGUGUAACUAUAUAUUGAAGAGAUUGUAGGAGUCUGUUGAUGAUAGUGCUGAUUCUGCUGAAGAACAUUUCCACAUUUGAUACGCUUGUGAGGAGACAGAGACUUGGAUGGAUGUUGAAGGGUUAGGGUAGUGGAUUCAUGGACUUUAUAUAACGUACAUGGAAGUUGUGGAAAGGAAUAGAGAUGGACUUUAUAUAACGUACAUGGAUGUUGUGCACGCUAGAUGACUUCUUUCCUUGUUUCUUUCACUCUUUAAACAUUAAGGGUUCUGCUUCACUACAACUGCACUUGCUCUCAGUUCAGGCUAGUUAGCUUUCAAGGCAUUUUGUAUUUUGAGCUACAAGUUUAUCAUGGUUCCAAUUGAAGGCUUAAUUUUAAAGGGUAGCCAUUGGUUGGUCCUUAAAUCAUGUGUCUUCUUUAAAGUGCGCAACACAAGUUUGUUUCAUGUUUGACUGUUUAUAUAUAUGAGCUCAGGGGAGAUCAUGCACCUGGAUAUCUGAUAUCUGGUCAUUACGCUAUUGAUUAACUUCAAAUCAAUUUUUCCUGCAGGUACUAGGGCCUAACAUCUUUUGUUGGUUAUGCCCUGUAUCAAAGUUCAAAGGCUCUGGUCUCCGAUUUCCCACUGCAUUUGACCUUCCAAUAUCUACAACACUAACUUGACGUAUCAGGUGGCAAAGAUAAGAGUAAUUUGUCUAUAGAAGAUGGAAACCAUGUAAAUUUUUGUGGUUGAGCCUCGCUUGGGAGUGGCACUUACAAUCGUGAAGUGCUUGCCCUACGUUUUUGGUCUGACACGAGGGCUUCAAGUUACUUCUGUGGGCUGCUUAUAAACUACAGGAAGGGUAAGCAGAUGGAGUGCCCUUUGCAGGGGGGGUAUCCUAGGGUCUGUAAGUCCCACCAUAAUAGUCCGGUGAAAUCUAUUGGGAAGUUAUGUGCCUGCCUUCAGGUGAUUUAUUUUGAUAUGGAACCUCAUAAGCCUUUGACAUGUGCUCGAUGUUUCCUGUGUUCCACCUGGUGUAGGUUCUGAGAGGCCUUUGCUUCCUUUUGACAAGGUAGAGGAGCAGGAAGACAGGAAGAAGGAUGAGGCUAAGCCUGUCUCCUAUCCAUAUUCCUUCUUCCACCUCAUUUUCUCCCUUGCCAGCAUGUAUGCCAAAUGUUGGAAUCAGACCGAAGUUGGAAUAUCAAUUCCAUUCUAGCCUUUAUUAUUCCAAACAAACAUUGCAUUAGGCUUACAAAAUAUCUAUUACAGAUCUUGUGCUACUUGGUGGAUAAGUAUUUUAUAAACUCAAAAUGAGCAUAAGGUGCUCUUGUAGGUGCUCUUGUAUGCAUUUUGAAUUCCGUCAUAUUAACUUUGGCAUCUGUAUCCAACACUUUGUUGUGGAAAAGAAAUAGAUAAGCUAAACAAUUGUUAUUUUUUUUUCCAGAUCCAAAUACACAUAUAUUAUGGAUAGAGAAUGCAAAUGCAAAAUUGAAGGCUAUCCAUGACAUCGAAGCAGGUGAGGAACUGCGGAUCUGCUAUAUUGAUGUUAGCAUGGGUUAUGAGGCUCGGCAGAAAAUUCUUGCUGAAGGUUUUGGUUUCAAGUGUAGCUGUCUUCGGUGCUUAUCUGGCGAAUAACAAGCAUUUUUCUUAUAUUUUAAUAGGGAUGAUCUUACACUCCAAGAGGAUUAAAAGUACUGAAGGCGGCUAACAGCAAAGCCCAGGACUCCUGAAGUUGUUUCAACCAUCAUGCAGGGAUCACUGGAUCAAACAGAGCAUGCAUUUUCUUUAUCUCCAAUAGCUCUUUUUUGUUAAUGCUUCUCGGAAGCCUUGGACUCUUAACCAGCCCAGUUUUCAUGCUCACGUGUUUCUAAGGGUGGUACAGUGCAAGUUAGGUUUCAGCCUUACAUUGGACAGUAUUUAGCAGCAGCAGCGGAAAAUGUGGUGACUAUUUUUGAUGUUGAGACUGACAGAAAGAUAUACACAGCAGAAAAUGAUGGGGGCUUCUACUCGGCCAUCAUUAAAGUUAAUUGUUUAAUGUGCAAUAGAAUUAUUGAAGCCUUCUGUUUGUUAUAAUUAUUAUAUUGCUAUAUUGUAUUUGAAGAAUAGUUGGAAGAAGGAACAAAAAUUGUACCUUAUGCAUCAUGCAGGUUAUAUACUAGUAUUAACUUUAAAAUAUAGCCCCCAUAUCGUAGAUUGUGUACUUAGGAAUUUGAGAUGUAUAUUUUUAGAAUGUUUUUGAAGUACAAUGUAAUCAAAUAUUAUAAUAUGAAUGUAAUCAAAGUUCUUGUUUGUGA